Molecule: long non-coding RNA, 2167 nt
Filed under: Oreochromis niloticus (Nile tilapia)
Lineage: Eukaryota; Metazoa; Chordata; Actinopteri; Cichliformes; Cichlidae
Description: lncRNA (ENSONIG00000041291.1)
Source: RNAcentral
UAAAAUAUGACAAAGGCAAAAUGAUUGGCUCACAGACAUUUUGCCAAAAUCUUAUUGGUUAACUUUAGCCAAUCGGUAGUAUGGGUACACCUGGACCUGGUGUGGCUAGAAGGGCAGGUGUUGAUAACUAUCAACCAGUGGCACACUGUCAUCACUUUUCAUAUUUACUGUAGACUCUUUUUAAUGCAGAGGACAAAGCAGCAAACACUGGUGUAGAGACCUGAGGAGUGAUCUUGAAACAAUCAAAGGUUUCUCUGUAAAUAAAAUUAAUAUGAAUUCACCGACCCAAAAUUCCACUACCAGCAGCUGCAAUGAUGCUGAUUAUGACUACAGCGAUCCCUACAGCAACUGCACAGACCCUAAAGACUUCUGCUGGUAUUUUGAGGACAACAUUAGCAUCUUGACAUGGAUAAUUGUUUGUGUCAGCCUUCCUUUGACCCCACUGGCCAUCUUUUUUCUUUGUAAGCAGGUGCGAAAGGAUCACAUCGGUCAAAUCUAUCUCAUCAACCUUCACAUUUCUGACCUUGUUCAGCUCUUCUGUAUGGUCGUUCACAUGUCAGGUGUUGAGGACUUCCUCACAUGGAGAAUAUUUGUUCGCUGUGUCUACCCUUCUGGUCUGAUGGCAAGUGUUGGCUUCAUGGUGUGUGUUUCCAUGGAAAGGUAAACAUCUGUGCUGUGUGUUUGUAGCUACACCAGUGUCUGAGCAUUUACUGCUUUUUAUUAGUAUAUCUUUUCAAUACUGCUCUGUUUCAACUCCUUUGUGUGUCUUUCUUGUAUAACAGGUAUUUGGUUGUUGCCCAUCCAGUGUGGUACCAACAGAGACGAACAAUCAAGGUCACUGUGGUGGUCUGUGUCUCAGUCUGGAUCCUUUCUGUUUUUGUUGGCCUCUUAAAUAACGACUAUUUGGGUGCCUUCCUCAUCAUUCCCCUUCCUCUUCUCUUUUUCUUCCUUAUUAGAACUAUUAAAGCCGUGUCUGCAACCAGUGUCCCCUCUGAUGAAAAACAAAAAAUUGUGGCAGUUUUGGUGGUGGUGGUGCUUAUUUACAUAUUGGUGUUUGUGCCCAGAACCAUUUUUGAAAUACUGCUCCUGACAGAUACAAAUUGGCAGACAUUGUACUUUGUGUAUGACACUACCUGCAGUUUAGUUCAGCUGAAUCCCCUUAUAGACUUGAUUAUGUACUUUUUCAUUAACAAAUGGGUGUUAAACAAGCUUUUUAGUUGUCUGUGUUGUUGCAAAUUGGACAGCAAUGAUCUCAGAACUUCAGUGACAACAACAUGAAAUCAGAAGGAAAUUGUGCAAUUUCUGAAUCACCUUAAUGUGGAUAAGUGACGUAUGAUUUUGUUGGCGUGUUGGUUUAAUGGGAAAUGGCUGUUCAGGCAAUGUUUCUGUUGUUUAUUAGGGUUAAAAUGCACAUAAUAUGCAUCAAUUAAUACAAUCAGCAUAUGAUAUCUUCUUUCUUUUUCUGAUUAAUCAUUUUCUUUCUUUUUUUUUUUGACCAUAGAAGUAUUUUUGUUCAUUUAAAUUGAUUAAAUAACUUGAUUACUACCCAUGUCAAUCAUCUCUGUUUGCGUAUAUAUAUACAUAUAAUUUUUUCUGAAUAAUAAUCUAUUUAUGUUUUGUUGAGACAAUUUUUGUUUGAUCUUUUGUGCCAUUGGCUGUAAAACUAUCUGCUCUGUCAGCAGUGAUUCAACAACAAAAUACUUUUCCCCCCAAACGAUAGGGGAAAACGACAGAAUAAUCAACAUAUACUCUUAGAAUUGCUUUAAAUCCCUUUGAUUUCUGCAGUCUGACAGUGCAGUGUGGUCUAGAAAAGCAUGUAUAAAAACCAAUUUUAAAACUCCAGUUUGUACUUAAUAAUCUACAAUGUUAUGAUAUAAAUAAAUGAAUAAAGUCUUUAUUGUUGUUCAUGUAACCAUAAAAAAGAGAAUAAAAUCAAUUAACUCAAAUCCCACUGUGCAGUGUCAUGUCAUAUUAAAAGGAAUCGAGUUAAUUGAUCUAACACACUGGUGUAUGUUUAAUAUCAUCUUGCAUCUAAACAUUGGAGCCUGUUGAUUUAAAACCAGUGCUUGUAACUUUUCCAUUUUCUUUUCCAUUUUUGUGAUAAUAAGAGAUUAAAAACAUGUUUUGACAACUGCUUUGUUUACUUUAAUAAAUUGUUUACUGGAUG